Molecule: ribosomal RNA, 387 nt
Filed under: uncultured bacterium
Lineage: Bacteria
Description: bacterial SSU rRNA
Rfam family: Bacterial small subunit ribosomal RNA
Source: RNAcentral
UCAGGCCUAACACAUGCAAGUCAAACGACAAAUUUUUUUGUAGUGGCGGACGGGUGAGUAACACGUAAGAACCUGCCUUUAGGAGGGGGAUACCAUCUGGGAAACUGGUGCUAAUACCCCAUAUGCUGAGAAGUGAAAAGGUAUUUAACCGCCUAGAGAGGGGCUUGCGGCUGAUUAGCUAGUUGGUAGGGUAAUGGCCUCCCAAGGCGACGAUCAGUAGCUGGUUUGAGAGGAUGAUCAGCCACACUGGGACUGAGACACGGCCCAGACUCCUACGGGAGGCAGCAGUGAGGAAUUUUCCGCAAUGGGCGAAAGCCUGACGGAGCAAUACCGCGUGGAGGAAAAAAGGAGACCUGUGGGUUGUAAACUCCUUUCUCAGAGAAGAAU